Molecule: ribosomal RNA, 619 nt
Filed under: Lutjanus argentimaculatus (mangrove red snapper)
Lineage: Eukaryota; Metazoa; Chordata; Actinopteri; Lutjaniformes; Lutjanidae
Description: partial large subunit ribosomal RNA
Rfam family: Bacterial large subunit ribosomal RNA
Source: RNAcentral
UCGCCUGUUUAUCAAAAACAUCGCCUCUUGCAAAAUCAAUGAAUAAGAGGUCCCGCCUGCCCUGUGACUAUAAGUUUAACGGCCGCGGUAUUUUGACCGUGCGAAGGUAGCGCAAUCACUUGUCUUUUAAAUGGAGACCUGUAUGAAUGGCAUAACGAGGGCUUAACUGUCUCCUCUUUCAAGUCAAUGAAAUUGAUCUCCCCGUGCAGAAGCGGGGAUAAGCACAUAAGACGAGAAGACCCUAUGGAGCUUUAGACACCAAAGCAGACCAUGUUAAGCACCCCUAAACAAGGGAUUAAACCAAAUGAUCCCUGCCCUAAUGUCUUUGGUUGGGGCGACCGCGGGGAAACACAAAACCCCCACGUGGAACGAGGGCACCCCCUCUCACAGCCAAGAGCUCCCGCUCUAGUAAACAGAAAUUCUGACCAUCUAGAUCCGGCAAAGCCGAUCAACGGACCGAGUUACCCUAGGGAUAACAGCGCAAUCCCCUUUUAGAGGCCAUAUCGACAAGGGGGUUUACGACCUCGAUGUUGGAUCAGGACAUCCUAAUGGUGCAGCCGCUAUUAAGGGUUCGUUUGUUCAACGAUUAAAGUCCUACGUGAUCUGAGUUCAGACCGGA